RNAcentral lists this ribosomal RNA (253 nucleotides) under uncultured bacterium. Its description in RNAcentral is "partial 16S ribosomal RNA". It matches the Rfam family "Bacterial small subunit ribosomal RNA", at positions 524 to 776 of the family's 1533-position model. The record is from RNAcentral.
GACGUAGGGCGCGAGCGUUGUCCGGAUUUAUUGGGCGUAAAGAGCUCGUAGGCGGCUUGUCGCGUCGACCGUGAAAACUUGGGGCUCAACCCCAAGCCUGCGGUCGAUACGGGCAGGCUCGAGUUCGGUAGGGGAGACUGGAAUUCCUGGUGUAGCGGUGAAAUGCGCAGAUAUCAGGAGGAACACCGGUGGCGAAGGCGGGUCUCUGGGACGGUACUGACGCUGAGACGCGAAAGCGUGGGGAGCGAACAGG